Molecule: long non-coding RNA, 378 nt
Organism: Zalophus californianus (California sea lion)
Lineage: Eukaryota; Metazoa; Chordata; Mammalia; Carnivora; Otariidae
Exons: 3
Source: RefSeq, a predicted model, not a curated record
AGGGCGCUUCCGGCUCGAGACGGAAGUGCUCCUGCGUGGGGCAGGAAGUCCCGCCCCACGCCGAUCUCCAUGGAGACUAGACGCUGUUAGUGGAGAAAGGGCGUGGAGCGUGGGACUCCGACCACAGGAAUUGAACCAAGGGCAUAACUUGGAAAAACCCGGACAAGAACCCUCUUUAGACCCAUUAAGCCUGUUUAGAGAUCCUAAGAGAUGAUUUUUAACAAGCAUUGGCUUUGCAGAGCGUCCAGUCCACUAACCUCAUUUAAUCUGCACUAUGAACUCCGAAGAGGACGACUCAAGAGAGGGUCCUUUCCUGGCAUGUCUUCACUGAGGGGUCUUACCACCUUGAUUUUGCCUGUCUUUAAAAAAAAAAAAAAA